UGAGGAAUAUUGGUCAAUGGGGGCAACCCUGAACCAGCGACGCCGCGUGAAGGAUGACAGGGCUUUGCCCCGUAAACUUCUGUCGGGAGGGAAAAAAGGACUGUUUGGCGGUCUGGGAUUGUACCUCUAAAGGAAGCACCGGCUAACUACGUGCCAGCAGCCGCGGUAAUACGUAGGGUGCAAACGUUGUCCGGAAUUACUGGGUGUAAAGGGUGCACAGGCGGUUUUGUGCGUCAGAGGUAAAAUCCCACAGCUCAACUGUGGACCUGCCUUUGAUAUGGCAAGACUUGAGUAUAAGAGAGGAUGAUAGAAUUCCUGGUGUAGCGGUGAAAUGCGUAGAUAUCAGGAGGAAUACCAGUGGCGAAGGCGGUCAUCUGGCUUGUAACUGACGCUUAAGCACGAAAGCAUGGGUAGCGAACA
This 420-nucleotide ribosomal RNA is filed under the name uncultured prokaryote. RNAcentral's name for it is "bacterial SSU rRNA". It matches the Rfam family "Bacterial small subunit ribosomal RNA", at positions 355 to 774 of the family's 1533-position model. The record is from RNAcentral.